GACGAACGCUGGCGGCGUGCUUAACACAUGCAAGUCGAACGGAAAGGCCCCUUUGGGGGUACUCGAGUGGCGCACGGGUGAGUAACACGUGCGUAACCUGCCCUUGACUUCGGGAUAACUUCAGGAAACUGGGGCUAAUACCGGAUAGGAAUCCUUGCUGCAUGGUGGGGGUUGGAAAGCUUCGGCGGGUUUGGAUGGACUCGCGGCUUAUCAGCUUGUUGGUGGGGUAGUGGCUUACCAAGGCUUUGACGGGUAGCCGGCCUGAGAGGGCGACCGGCCACAUUGGGACUGAGAUACGGCCCAGACUCCUACGGGAGGCAGCAGUGGGGAAUAUUGCACAAUGGGCGGAAGCCUGAUGCAGCAACGCCGCGUGCGGGAUGACGGCCUUCGGGUUGUAAACCGCUUUCAGCAGGGGCGAAGCUUGUGGUGACGGUACCUGCAGAAGAAGCACCGGCUAACUACGUG
Molecule: ribosomal RNA, 465 nt
Filed under: uncultured bacterium
Lineage: Bacteria
Description: partial 16S ribosomal RNA
Rfam family: Bacterial small subunit ribosomal RNA
Source: RNAcentral